GACGAACGCUGGCGGCGUGCUUAACACAUGCAAGUCGAACGGAAAGGCACUGCUUUUGUGGGGUGCUUGAGUGGCGAACGGGUGAGUAACACGUGAGUAACCUGCCCUAGACUCUGGGAUAACUUCAGGAAACUGGGUCUAAUACCGGAUAGGAGCCCCAGCUGCAUGGCUGGGGUCGGAAAGUUUCGGCGGUUGGGGAUGGACUCGCGGCUUAUCAGCUUGUUGGUGGGGUAGUGGCUUACCAAGGCAUUGACGGGUAGCCGGCCUGAGAGGGUGACCGGCCAAAUUGGGACUGGGAAACGGCCCAAGCCCCUUCGGGGAGGAGCAGGUGGGGAUAUUGCAAAAUGGGCGGAAGGCUGAUGCAGCAACGGCGGGGGCGGGAUGACGGCCUUCGUGUUGUAAACCGUUUUCGCCUGGGACGAAGCGUAAGUGACGGUAAUGGGUAGAGAAGCACCGGCUAACUACGUG
This 468-nucleotide ribosomal RNA is filed under the name uncultured bacterium. Its description in RNAcentral is "partial 16S ribosomal RNA". It matches the Rfam family "Bacterial small subunit ribosomal RNA", at positions 28 to 507 of the family's 1533-position model. The record is from RNAcentral.